RNAcentral lists this ribosomal RNA (120 nucleotides) under uncultured bacterium. RNAcentral's name for it is "partial 16S ribosomal RNA". It matches the Rfam family "Bacterial small subunit ribosomal RNA", at positions 1365 to 1482 of the family's 1533-position model. The record is from RNAcentral.
AAUACGUUCCCGGGCCUUGUACACACCGCCCGUCACACCACGAAAGUCGGCAACACCCGAAGCCGGUGGCCCAACCCCUUGGGGAGGGAGCCGUCGAAGGUGGGGUCGGUGAUUGGGGUG